Molecule: ribosomal RNA, 253 nt
Filed under: uncultured bacterium
Lineage: Bacteria
Description: partial 16S ribosomal RNA
Rfam family: Bacterial small subunit ribosomal RNA
Source: RNAcentral
UACGUAGGUGACAAGCGUUGUCCGGAUUUACUGGGCGUAAAGAGCGCGCAGGCGGUCGUUCAAGUCGAGUGUGAAAGCCCCCGGCUCAACUGGGGAGGGUCAUUCGAUACUGAUCGACUCGAAGGCAGGAGAGGGUAGUGGAAUUCCCGGUGUAGUGGUGAAAUGCGUAGAUAUCGGGAGGAACACCAGUGGCGAAGGCGACUACCCGGCCUGUUCUUGACGCUGAGGCGCGAAAGCUAGGGGAGCAAACGGG